GCAACCGGAGUCCUUUUCCACACUGUGGAAGCUUUGUUCUUUUGCUCUUUGCAAUAAAUCUUGCUGCUGCUCACUCUUUGGGUCCACACUGCCUUUAUGAGCUGUAACACUCACCGUGAAGGUCUGCAGCUUUACUCCUGAAGCCAGCGAGACCACGAACCCACCGGCAGGAACGAACAACUCCAGACGCGCCGCCUUAAGAGCUGUAACACUCACCGCGAAGGUCUGCAGCUUCACUCCUGAGCCAGCGAGACCACGAACCCACCGGAAGGAAGAAACUCUGAACACAUCCGAACAUCAGAAGGAACAAACUCCGGACACGCCGCCUUUAAGAACUGUUAACACUCACCGCAAGGGUCCGCGGCUUCGUUCUUGAAGUCAGUGAGACCAAGAACCCACCAAUUCCGGACACAAGGGGAGCUGACUUUCAUUAUAAAGAUUUUCUCAUUGCAAAGUGAAAAAGAGAAUAAUAACUUUAAAACAAGGCAGAAAGUAAAGAGAACUGGAAGCGAGGAACAUGCUCUGAACUAGAACUGGCAACAUGAGAGAUGAGCUCAGGCUUCAAAAUGGUGUCUGCACUGGGUCUUGAAGGAAGAGCAGAGUUUGGGCAUUUAGAAACCAAGAAUUCCAGGUUGACAAGUCUCAGAGCAUGGUGCUGGCAUCUGGCAAGGGCCUUAUCCCAUGGCAGAAGGCAGAAGUGAGUACACAAGACAGAGGGAAGAAGGAGGCCAGACUCCCAAGGUGCAAUAGGACGGCUAGAGGGAACUGGAGCUGGAUAUUUCCCUUCUCUCAGAAAUGAAUGGCAGUAUCAUCAGAACAACCACCCAUAUGUUUUCCCAAAGCAAGACAUUGUGAGGUGUUAAGAGAUAUAUGCAGGUA
RNAcentral lists this long non-coding RNA (879 nucleotides) under Homo sapiens (human). RNAcentral's name for it is "HSALNT0064247". The record is from RNAcentral. Lineage: Eukaryota; Metazoa; Chordata; Mammalia; Primates; Hominidae.